MicroRNA precursor from Seriola lalandi dorsalis, 69 nucleotides. Lineage: Eukaryota; Metazoa; Chordata; Actinopteri; Carangiformes; Carangidae. The record is from Ensembl.
AGCCAUGACUGUAGACUGUUACUGUACUGUGACACUGUAUAAGCAGUAAGCAGUCUAAAGCCAAGGUGC